GGAUUCUGGGAAUUAUACCUGUGAGGUACAAACUCCAUCCGGCAGUGUGAGGAAGAGGAGCAGAAGGUCAUAUAUUUGGGUACAGGGAAUCAGAAACACUGUAUUUAACAGUAUUACUCUAGAAACCAUAAACAUUGCAAAUACCAAUGAGACCACAGCAACAAAUCACCCAUUUCCAUUCAUAAGGGUCAUUGUGAGCUUGCUGUCCAUUUGUCUCAUUACUGCUGCCCUGGUCUUCUGUCACAGAGACAGAAUAUGUUUGCUGCUUUGCAGCCGUCAUCGCAGAGCAGUCUCUGAGUCUUCAAAUACAGGAAAUGACGAAUAUGAGUUAUACUACAAUCUGAAUCACUAAAAGGUACAAUGACCAGAUGACCCAUCAGCCACGGAGAACUGCCAAUUUGUGAGGACAUCGUUGAGAUAGUUGGGCACCACACGUGAUCUGUAUCAUCAUCGACUGGGAAACUCAGUCUGAUGUUACUGUUACAAGUGACUGUUCCAUAUAUAGAGUUUUUGGUUGUCAGUAAAAGUAAAUAUUUGACUCAUAAACAAAUAACAUGUUAUUCUGUAAUAAUAUGGCACCCUUAGUAUUUCUUUCAUUUUUGGCAAAUAUUCUUUUGAAUAAAACAUUCUUAAUUAUAAAUGUAAUUUUUCCAAGAAUUGUAGCACUUUUGCUUGUUGGUUAUGUCAUAUUGUGUUUUAUUAAUUUUAACUGGGCCUUAUG
This is a long non-coding RNA of Xenopus laevis (African clawed frog), 721 nucleotides long. RefSeq lists it as uncharacterized. Lineage: Eukaryota; Metazoa; Chordata; Amphibia; Anura; Pipidae. The record is from RefSeq and is a predicted model, not a curated record. The transcript has 6 exons.